Molecule: long non-coding RNA, 1230 nt
Filed under: Vulpes vulpes (red fox)
Lineage: Eukaryota; Metazoa; Chordata; Mammalia; Carnivora; Canidae
Description: lncRNA (ENSVVUG00000012284.1)
Source: RNAcentral
GGAGGGAGGGGGAAGGCCGAGAGAAACCCCACCCCAGGCCCAUGAAUGCUGGCAUUGUCCCUUCUUUUCUGAAUCUGAUUUACCAUAUCAUAACCCCCAGGAAGAAGAAAACAUCAAUAUCCCGAAGGAAUGGAGAUGUUUCUAUGGAAAACCUAGGAAUUUUAGUCCAUAACAGAUCUGGUGUUAAAAAAAAAAAAAAUCAAAGAGAUGAAAGGCUGAGCUCCCUGGAGUAUCGAUGCGUCUCUGAAUUAAAGAUGGACGAGGCCGACUACAAAGCAAGCUGAGAAGUCAGGGAUUGUGAUUACGAGGUGUGUCAGUAGAAGAUCAUGGAAAGGAAUAGACCAGUAGCAGUCCCAGAUGAAUGACCUCUUCACGUGCACAAAGAGAAUUCUCUGCCCCAGCAUGCAACGUGUUGUGUGGGUCUGUGUUGGCGGUGGGAGCAGGCUUUGGGGAGAAGCUGUUCUCGCUUGCACAGUGGCCUGUGGGCCUGCUGUCUGGCUUCUUCUGGACACUGAGGCUGGAAAAUUAAAACAGUAAAAUUUUACAAGCCAGAGACUCUCUGCUUCCUCCGGAAAGAAGCCACAAUAAUCAGUCAGGUGGUCUGGACCGUGCGUGGGGAGCCCAGCCUCCAGAGGCCUCAGCCCUUUGCCCCACAAGUCUUCCCCUUCCAGUUCUCCAGAGCUAAGGCCAGCAUAUGAAUAUUACGGAAGUCAAUUAAGUUGUUUGCAAACACACACAGGCCAGUGUGGACCACGGAAGGGGUGAAAGCGGGUUCCCAGGGUGGGAUCAGCAUCUGUACCGGCCUCCAGCAGACCUGGGGUCAGGCCCGACACUAAGUAAACAGUGCCUCGGCUGAGGGUCUCCUUUGUGGCAGCUGCAGCUGUCCAGCUGCCCAUUGUCCUUCUGGGGCUGGAGACUCCAUUGCUGCCCCUGCACCAACUCCGUGCACAAACAGACCAGGGCGGGCUACCCAGACCCCCACCCACCGGGGCCCUGCCUCACCGGGGCCCCAGGCCACCAGGCUUUCUUUUCUGUCUCCCCUCCAGCAGCCCAGCAGCAUCUCCAGGCAUUUUUUUUUCCUCCUUAACUAACAGUGCAGGUGCAAAAAAGUCCAGACUCUGGGGGACGGUGGGAAGAAUGGGGAUAGGAGGAGAACUAUCAUCACAAAACAAAAGAAUAGGAGGUUGAAAAUCACAAUAAAACUGGAAGCAAGAAUGAUCUUGUUAAACA